RNAcentral lists this ribosomal RNA (593 nucleotides) under uncultured bacterium. RNAcentral describes it as "bacterial SSU rRNA". It matches the Rfam family "Bacterial small subunit ribosomal RNA", at positions 61 to 649 of the family's 1533-position model. The record is from RNAcentral.
GUCGAGCGGUAGAGAGGUGCUUGCACCUCUUGAGAGCGGCGGACGGGUGAGUAAAGCCUAGGAAUCUGCCUGGUAGUGGGGGAUAACGCUCGGAAACGGACGCUAAUACCGCAUACGUCCUACGGGAGAAAGCAGGGGACCUUCGGGCCUUGCGCUAUCAGAUGAGCCUAGGUCGGAUUAGCUAGUUGGUGAGGUAAUGGCUCACCAAGGCGACGAUCCGUAACUGGUCUGAGAGGAUGAUCAGUCACACUGGAACUGAGACACGGUCCAGACUCCUACGGGAGGCAGCAGUGGGGAAUAUUGGACAAUGGGCGAAAGCCUGAUCCAGCCAUGCCGCGUGUGUGAAGAAGGUCUUCGGAUUGUAAAGCACUUUAAGUUGGGAGGAAGGGCAUUAACCUAAUACGUUAGUGUUUUGACGUUACCGACAGAAUAAGCACCGGCUAACUCUGUGCCAGCAGCCGCGGUAAUACAGAGGGUGCAAGCGUUAAUCGGAAUUACUGGGCGUAAAGCGCGCGUAGGUGGUUCGUUAAGUUGGAUGUGAAAUCCCCGGGCUCAACCUGGGAACUGCAUUCAAAACUGUCGAGCUAGAGUAU